UAGAGUUUGAUCCUGGCUCAGGACGAACGCUGGCGGCGUGCCUAAUACAUGCAAGUAGAACGCUGAAGAGAGGAGCUUGCUCUUCUUGGACGAGUUGCGAACGGGUGAGUAACGCGUAGGUAACCUGCCUUGUAGCGGGGGAUAACUAUUGGAAACGAUAGCUAAUACCGCAUAACAAUGGAUGACACAUGUCAUUUAUUUGAAAGGGGCAAUUGCUCCACUACAAGAUGGACCUGCGUUGUAUUAGCUAGUAGGUGAGGUAAUGGCUCACCUAGGCGACGAUACAUAGCCGACCUGAGAGGGUGAUCGGCCACACUGGGACUGAGACACGGCCCAGACUCCUACGGGAGGCAGCAGUAGGGAAUCUUCGGCAAUGGGGGCAACCCUGACCGAGCAACGCCGCGUGAGUGAAGAAGGUUUUCGGAUCGUAAAGCUCUGUUGUAAGUCAAGAACGGGUGUGAGAGUGGAAAGUUCACACUGUGACGGUAGCUUACCAGAAAGGGACGGCUAACUACGUGCCAGCAGCCGCGGUAAUACGUAGGUCCCGAGCGUUGUCCGGAUUUAUUGGGCGUAAAGCGAGCGCAGGCGGUUUGAUAAGUCUGAAGUUAAAGGCUGUGGCUCAACCAUAGUUCGCUUUGGAAACUGUCAAACUUGAGUGCAGAAGGGGAGAGUGGAAUUCCAUGUGUAGCGGUGAAAUGCGUAGAUAUAUGGAGGAACACCGGUGGCGAAAGCGGCUCUCUGGUCUGUAACUGACGCUGAGGCUCGAAAGCGUGGGGAGCGAACAGGAUUAGAUACCCUGGUAGUCCACGCCGUAAACGAUGAGUGCUAGGUGUUGGAUCCUUUCCGGGAUUCAGUGCCGCAGCUAACGCAUUAAGCACUCCGCCUGGGGAGUACGACCGCAAGGUUGAAACUCAAAGGAAUUGACGGAAGGGAAUUUCAGCAGAUAU
This 947-nucleotide ribosomal RNA is filed under the name uncultured bacterium. Its description in RNAcentral is "bacterial SSU rRNA". It matches the Rfam family "Bacterial small subunit ribosomal RNA", at positions 1 to 936 of the family's 1533-position model. The record is from RNAcentral.